AUGGCGUCGCUCGCAGCCCGGAGCCGGAGACCAGCCUACCUCCUAGCCCUCCUCUCCGUCGUCACGGCCUUAUUCCUGACCCCGCCGGCCUUGGCGGCGGGGGGGGGGGGGAAGACCGGCCAGGUGACGGUGUUCUGGGGACAGAACAAGGCGGAGGGGUCCCUGCGUGAGGCCUGCGACUCCGGCAUGUACACCAUGGUCACCAUGUCCUUCCUCGACGUCUUCGGCACCAACGGCAAGUACCACCUCGACCUCUCCGGCCACGACCUCUCCUCCGUCGGCGCCGACAUCAAGCAUUGCCAGCUCAAGGGCGUGCCCGUCUCCCUCUCCAUCGGCGGCUACGGCACCGGCUACUCGCUGCCGUCCAACCGCUCCGCGCUCGACCUCUUCGACCACCUCUGGAACUCCUACUUCGGCGGGUCCAAGCCGGGCGUCCCCCGCCCCUUCGGCGACGCGUGGCUCGACGGCGUCGACCUCUUCCUGGAGCACGGCACGUCGGCGGACCGCUAUGACGUGCUGGCGCUGGAGCUGGCCAAGCACAACAUCCGUGGGGGGCGGGGAAGCCGCUGCACCUGA
This 576-nucleotide ribosomal RNA is filed under the name Triticum aestivum (bread wheat). RNAcentral describes it as "partial small subunit ribosomal RNA". The record is from RNAcentral. Lineage: Eukaryota; Viridiplantae; Streptophyta; Magnoliopsida; Poales; Poaceae.